This 351-nucleotide ribosomal RNA is filed under the name Escherichia coli 2-011-08_S1_C3. Its description in RNAcentral is "bacterial SSU rRNA". It matches the Rfam family "Bacterial small subunit ribosomal RNA", at positions 1177 to 1527 of the family's 1533-position model. The record is from RNAcentral. Lineage: Bacteria; Pseudomonadati; Pseudomonadota; Gammaproteobacteria; Enterobacterales; Enterobacteriaceae.
GGAUGACGUCAAGUCAUCAUGGCCCUUACGACCAGGGCUACACACGUGCUACAAUGGCGCAUACAAAGAGAAGCGACCUCGCGAGAGCAAGCGGACCUCAUAAAGUGCGUCGUAGUCCGGAUUGGAGUCUGCAACUCGACUCCAUGAAGUCGGAAUCGCUAGUAAUCGUGGAUCAGAAUGCCACGGUGAAUACGUUCCCGGGCCUUGUACACACCGCCCGUCACACCAUGGGAGUGGGUUGCAAAAGAAGUAGGUAGCUUAACCUUCGGGAGGGCGCUUACCACUUUGUGAUUCAUGACUGGGGUGAAGUCGUAACAAGGUAACCGUAGGGGAACCUGCGGUUGGAUCACC